This 253-nucleotide ribosomal RNA is filed under the name uncultured bacterium. Its description in RNAcentral is "partial 16S ribosomal RNA". It matches the Rfam family "Bacterial small subunit ribosomal RNA", at positions 524 to 776 of the family's 1533-position model. The record is from RNAcentral.
UACGAAGGGGGCUAGCGUUGCUCGGAAUCACUGGGCGUAAAGGGUGCGUAGGCGGGUCUUUAAGUCAGGGGUGAAAUCCUGGAGCUCAACUCCAGAACUGCCUUUGAUACUGAGGAUCUUGAGUCCGGGAGAGGUGAGUGGAACUGCGAGUGUAGAGGUGAAAUUCGUAGAUAUUAGCAAGAACACCAGUGGCGAAGGCGGCUCACUGGCCCGGUACUGACGCUGAGGUACGAAAGCGUGGGGAGCAAACAGG